AGACUGCAGGUUGCAACUCGCCUGCACGAAGUCGGAAUUGCUAGUAAUCGUAGGUCAGCAUACUACGGUGAAUACGUUCCCGGGCCUUGUACACACCGCCCGUCAAACCAUGAGAGUUGGCAACACCCGAAGUCAGUGACCUAACCGAGAGGGAGGAGCUGCCGAAGGCGGGGCCGGUAACUGGGGUGAAGUCGUAACAAGGUAAC
RNAcentral lists this ribosomal RNA (206 nucleotides) under uncultured bacterium. RNAcentral's name for it is "partial 16S ribosomal RNA". It matches the Rfam family "Bacterial small subunit ribosomal RNA", at positions 1295 to 1500 of the family's 1533-position model. The record is from RNAcentral.